This 1338-nucleotide long non-coding RNA is filed under the name Sus scrofa (pig). RNAcentral describes it as "lncRNA (ENSSSCG00025016697.1)". The record is from RNAcentral. Lineage: Eukaryota; Metazoa; Chordata; Mammalia; Artiodactyla; Suidae.
CCCUGAUGAAGCUGUUUGCUGCGGGAGACACUACAAUUUCAACUGCUGCUCGUUUCCCAUCACCCAUAAAACUUGGGGAUGCUUCCUCGGGCACCCACGGGAUGCUGGCAACGGCCCAGGAGUGCUUUGCUGCCGUUGCUGCAAAGGACAGUGGGCAUUUCCACUUGGCGUUAACCUAACCCUCUCUCCAAGGCACUGUCCCCAACAGUGAAGCCAGAUGCUUCCAAGACCAGCCAGGGAUCCCGCUGUGGUCGGGCUCCGCCUUCCUUCGCUCUCUGGCAGCACGGAUGGAGCCAGCACCCUCUCUGAGGACCUCAGAGGACACUCAGAGCGAAGAUGUUCCAGGAGCUCAGACCUGAGCCCCUGUGUGUGUGCUGACGCCCAGACCUGGAGGAACGGCGUUCCCAGCAGAGGGAACAGCAAGGACAAAGCCCGAGAAGCAGGGAAAUGUUUGCUGUUUCCUAUGAAAUAAAAGACAGAUGAAAAAAAAUUGGAUGAGCUCCACUGUGGAGCCAGUACGUCUGGGGCCACCCCGGAACUCCCUGCCGUCUUUGGAGACGUCCUUCCAAACCUGCCCACAGAGGUGUGACGGUGUAGGCGGCAUCUGUGCCUCUGUCGCUGACAGUUUCGUGGGACUCCUGGAUGCGUAAGGCUUGCGCAGGAAUGCUGUCCACAUUUUUGGAAUUUUUCCCACGGAGGAUUGAACUAGCCAGCCUUUGCACUGGGAGGUCGCACACUGGUGUGUGAGGACCCUGCGUGAGGAGGAGAGCGACGGGGCGGCUGGGUGUCCCCUUUCCCUGUCCCUGCGGUACCUUUUCAGUCCCAGACACUGUACUGGACUCUGGGACGCGUCAUCCCUUGACCUUCCUCUUUGACUUGCACCGAAAGGCUGUGCUGCUGUGUGACUUGCAACAUGUUUCGGCACCGUCUCUCCCAACUCCACUGUGAAAACUUUCAAGACACACCCACAGACACACAGACACACACACAGCUCUUACCCUUUAAGAAGCAGUUUCACACUGGCCAGCACCUGGCCUUCCGAGUUUGCCAUCGGCAGAAGAACAUUUGGCAAUUUGGUGGAGUAAAGCCUCUGUGACUUUCUAGGCUCUUAAUAUCAUCCUCUUAAAACAGCAGCGCAAAUCUGAGGUCCCAGAACCCUGGGAAGAGAAGAGUUAAAGGAACUUGACGAAAGCUCAAAACAACUGUUUUCCUUGAGAAUGGGGGCUAAGACCCUUUGGGGUUUGGGGGCGAGGUGUGGGAUCUUCAGUAUCAAAGACUCUUCCUAUCACAACAUCAGUGUGUAAUUGAAGUGAAAUAAUAAAGACGUGUGGGAAUGCA